AUUGAACGCUGGCGGCAUGCCUUACACAUGCAAGUCGAACGGUAACAGGUCUUCGGAUGCUGACGAGUGGCGAACGGGUGAGUAAUACAUCGGAACGUGCCCGAUCGUGGGGGAUAACGAAGCGAAAGCUUUGCUAAUACCGCAUAAGAUCUAUGGAUGAAAGCAGGGGACCGCAAGGCCUUGCGCGAACGGAGCGGCCGAUGGCAGAUUAGGUAGUUGGAGGGAUAAAAGCUUACCAAGCCGACGAUCUGUAGCUGGUCUGAGAGGACGACCAGCCACACUGGGACUGAGACACGGCCCAGACUCCUACGGGAGGCAGCAGUGGGGAAUUUUGGACAAUGGGCGAAAGCCUGAUCCAGCCAUGCCGCGUGCAGGAUGAAGGCCUUCGGGUUGUAAACUGCUUUUGUACGGAACGAAAAGACUCUUUCUAAUAAAGAGGGUCCAUGACGGUACCGUAAGAAUAAGCACCGGCUAACUCUGUGCCAGCCGCCGCCGUAA
This 498-nucleotide ribosomal RNA is filed under the name uncultured bacterium. Its description in RNAcentral is "partial 16S ribosomal RNA". It matches the Rfam family "Bacterial small subunit ribosomal RNA", at positions 30 to 523 of the family's 1533-position model. The record is from RNAcentral.